GGGAGUGAAAGGCUUCGACAGUUAGAUGUUUUUAUUCUAGUUGCAUGCCAAGUACGCAGGAAUCUUGUUAAACUUCUUGCACAACUCAAACGCAGCUAAAACUGCUGUAAAGUCACCUUUCGGUAACUUUGCACUAUCUUUCGCUUAAAGCGAAACAUCCAGUACAUUUGAUGUAUGAUAAAAUGUGCGGGUGUAAAAAAAUCAUACUUGGUCAGGUAGCGGUGACGGUCUACCCUCGACAAUUAGUCUCGUAAUACAUAGGUGCGUUGCUUGUAGACACGUAUUAUCAAAUGAAUAGGCAACUAAGCACGUAGACGCUAAAUAAAAACCUUUCUGGACGGGGGUUCGAGUCCCCCCACUUCCACAC
RNAcentral lists this transfer-messenger RNA (367 nucleotides) under Minisyncoccota bacterium. It matches the Rfam family "transfer-messenger RNA". Rfam says of the family: Bacterial tmRNA, also known as 10Sa RNA or SsrA, is named for its dual tRNA and mRNA-like properties. Its role is to liberate the mRNA from a stalled ribosome. RNAcentral also lists the same sequence under 1 other name. The record is from RNAcentral. Lineage: Bacteria; Bacillati; Minisyncoccota.